RNAcentral lists this ribosomal RNA (341 nucleotides) under Candidatus Berkelbacteria bacterium CG_4_9_14_3_um_filter_33_5. RNAcentral's name for it is "bacterial LSU rRNA". It matches the Rfam family "Bacterial large subunit ribosomal RNA", at positions 2560 to 2912 of the family's 2925-position model. Lineage: Bacteria; Candidatus Berkelbacteria. The record is from RNAcentral.
AGGUCCCAAGGGUUGGGCUGUUCGCCCAUUAAAGCGGUACGCGAGCUGGGUUCAGAACGUCGCGAGACAGUUCGGUCCUAAUCUGCUGUGGGCGUUGAAACUUGAGGGAAAUUCUUCCUAGUACGAGAGGACCGGAAGGAACAAGCCUCUAGUGUACCAGUUGUGCUGCCAAGGGCAUCGCUGGGUAGCUAUGCGUGUUUAGAUAACCGCUGAAAGCAUCUAAGCGGGAAGCUAUACCCAAGAUUAGGUUUCGUUAUGAGAUUCCCCGUAGACUACGGGGUUGAUAGGCUACUGGUGUAAGUUCUGCAAAGAAUUCAGCCUGGUAGUACUAAUAUAAUCCA